Phasianus colchicus (ring-necked pheasant) is the source of this 1731-nucleotide long non-coding RNA. The record is from Ensembl. Lineage: Eukaryota; Metazoa; Chordata; Aves; Galliformes; Phasianidae.
AGAGGCCAAGGUGCUGAUGCACCAAAUUAACACGGCACCCAGGUGCUGACAUGUUACUUCCAGCUCCCUGUCAGCCUUUGCCUUUCCCCCACGUGGGUUUUGGCAAUGAGGACACUACUGUCUCAGGGCUGAGAGCUGCUGCUGUGCUGACACGUUUGCUGGAGCUGGGAGUAAAGUUUUCGUUUUCCCAAGCAGGGAGCAUCAGCUGUACUUUCUUGGGUAUCCCAGUCCUUGACUUCCUGGAAGAGCAAUUAAUGCAUAUCCCUAUUGGAUUGAAAAUGUAAUCUUGGGUUACAAAGCAUGGAAGCUUCUUGCUAUCAACAGCAAUUUCUUGGAAAGGAAGCAAAAUGCAUUGCUUGCCAAUGUUCUCUGGCACUUGAAUCCACAGAGGCCAAGUGCUGAUCUCAGAUGAGACCUGAAAAGAGGGAAACAGCUGCUCCAAGCAUCCAGACCGCCCUCAGACACAUAUUGUGACUUCUGCUGAUUUGGGUUGGAGCUACGUUUCUGUACCUGGAAGAAGAUUCUGGCCAAGCACAAGCCUGAAUGCCAUGCUUUUCUGCCCAUUGUGCUCAGAUUACAAUUAGCAAAAAGAUUCUGAGGCAGAGGAGGGGAAAACUACCAAUGGGAGGAUAUGCCUAGCACAUAAAUCCCAGCACAUUGAAACACUAAUCUGUGACUCCUGCUUUCUUCUUAACCAGCCUCUGCAUAGAGUUCACUCAAUCCUGAAUUUGCUGAACUGUUCAGCUGAUGUCUACCCUGAAGUAAUGAAUUGGCAGGCCUAUUUCUAACAGUGAUUAAUGAAGCUUUUCAGAGGCAACCCAUUAUUUGAUACAAAGUUAAAACAGUGGUUCAUCAUUAAUCACUACAAGACAUAGGCUCACAGAUUCAUAAUUCUCAGCAAGCCCAUUUCAUUAAGGGUUCCACUCUUUCUUUUGUUAACCCAGGGCUCCCCUACCUUCCCACCCUCAUGGGUGCCUUUCUGGUGCUCCAUUUCUUGCUUUGUUUGAAUGAAGUCACACACUCUAGGGGAUGUUUUUCCGAUUCUGCAGCCUUUCCAAAACUGUUUUACUUUCUUUUAGAUUUCAAAAGUUCCUAUUCCCAUAGAAAAAUUUCUCCAAUUAUCAAAUAUGAGCCAACAUUGGCACCCAGUGGCUGAACAGAUUAAUCACAGAUACAUAUUCCCUGGAGCCCACCUUUUCUAUUCUUCAGGCAAUUCUUCCCCAUAGGUACUUUCACUGCUAUUACACAGUGUUGCAAUUCUUGGCCAUCUUGUCAUGGCCACUUGGUCAUAGCUGUGAACUAGUUAAGGUAGGGAAAGAGAAGGAAAGCCCAUAUUUUGCCUCUCUCACCCCUCUGUCAGGGCCCAUUGAAGACAAUCCAUUUAAGUCACCCAAUGGUGCAAACAUCACUGACUUGCAUAGGACAUGUAGCUCUAUUCUGACUCCCAUGAGGCUGUAGCACCCAUACAAUGCUGUUCAGCACCCUGCAGACAUAGCAGCUCUGGACCUACAGUUUUCACCUGCUAAGAGAAGGGCUGCUCCUCAGCUCACAAAUCCUGCCCCAAUUUCAAGAAACUCAUACUGGUGUGACCGGUGGCAUCAGGAAAAGUCAUAUCAAGCAGAUGCUUCUUGGGAUUGAAAUCCCUACGCGCACACAGAAUUUCAUUGGCUCACAAAACUGAAUACAUCUAUAUAUGAAAAGGAAAGAAUAAAUUUGAGAAAUUACAUUCCA